AAGAGGUGUAUGAACAAUUAAAACUGCUAA
RNAcentral lists this transfer RNA (30 nucleotides) under Gallotia stehlini (Gran Canaria giant lizard). RNAcentral describes it as "partial tRNA-Ser". The record is from RNAcentral. Lineage: Eukaryota; Metazoa; Chordata; Lepidosauria; Squamata; Lacertidae.